Molecule: ribosomal RNA, 501 nt
Filed under: uncultured bacterium
Lineage: Bacteria
Description: partial 16S ribosomal RNA
Rfam family: Bacterial small subunit ribosomal RNA
Source: RNAcentral
AUUGAACGCUGGCGGAAUGCUUUACACAUGCAAGUCGAACGGCAGCACGGGUGCUUGCACCUGGUGGCGAGUGGCGAACGGGUGAGUAAUAUAUCGGAACGUAUCCAAUAAUGGGGGAUAACUAAUCGAAAGGUUGGCUAAUACCGCAUACGCCCUACGGGGAAAGCUAGGGACCUUCGGGCCUGGCGUUAAUGGAGCGGCCGAUAUCUGAUUAGCUAGUUGGUGGGGUAAUGGCCUACCAAGGCGACGAUCAGUAGCUGGUCUGAGAGGACGACCAGCCACACUGGAACUGAGACACGGUCCAGACUCCUACGGGAGGCAGCAGUGGGGAAUUUUGGACAAUGGGCGCAAGCCUGAUCCAGCCAUUCCGCGUGAGUGAAGAAGGCCUUCGGGUUGUAAAGCUCUUUCGCAAGGGAAGAAAACUUAUCCUCUAACAUAGGAUGAGGUUGACGGUACCUUGAUAAGAAGCACCGGCUAACUACGUGCCAGCAGCCUCCGUAA